RNAcentral lists this non-coding RNA (26 nucleotides) under Homo sapiens (human). Lineage: Eukaryota; Metazoa; Chordata; Mammalia; Primates; Hominidae. The record is from RNAcentral.
UGCUGGUUCUCUGCUCUUGAAGAUGG